This 461-nucleotide ribosomal RNA is filed under the name uncultured beta proteobacterium. RNAcentral describes it as "bacterial SSU rRNA". It matches the Rfam family "Bacterial small subunit ribosomal RNA", at positions 200 to 642 of the family's 1533-position model. The record is from RNAcentral. Lineage: Bacteria; Pseudomonadati; Pseudomonadota; Betaproteobacteria.
AGGAAAGCAGGGGAUCGCAAGACCUUGCGCUCUUGGAGCGGCCGAUGUCUGAUUAGCUAGUUGGUGAGGUAAAGGCUUACCAAGGCGACGAUCAGUAGCUGGUCUGAGAGGACGACCAGCCACACUGGGACUGAGACACGGCCCAGACUCCUACGGGAGGCAGCAGUGGGGAAUUUUGGACAAUGGGGGAAACCCUGAUCCAGCCAUGCCGCGUGAGUGAAGAAGGCCUUCGGGUUGUAAAGCUCUUUCAGCCGGAACGAAACGGUCACGGCUAAUACCUGUGAUCACUGACGGUACCGGAAGAAGAAGCACCGGCUAACUACGUGCCAGCAGCCGCGGUAAUACGUAGGGUGCAAGCGUUAAUCGGAAUUACUGGGCGUAAAGCGUGCGCAGGCGGUUUUGUAAGUCAGAUGUGAAAUCCCCGGGCUUAACCUGGGAACUGCGUUUGAAACUACAAAGCU